Molecule: ribosomal RNA, 352 nt
Filed under: uncultured bacterium
Lineage: Bacteria
Description: bacterial SSU rRNA
Rfam family: Bacterial small subunit ribosomal RNA
Source: RNAcentral
GACGAACGCUGGCGGCGUGCUUAACACAUGCAAGUCGAGCGGUAAGGCCCUUUCGGGGGUACACGAGCGGCGAACGGGUGAGUAACACGUGGGUGACCUGCCCUCAGCUCUGGGAUAAGCCUGGGAAACCGGGUCUAAUACUGGAUAUGACUCCAUGACGCAUGUUGUGGGGUGGAAAGCCUUGUGCGGCUGAGGAUGGGCCCGCGGCCUAUCAGCUUGUUGGUGGGGUGANGGCCUACCAAGGCGACGACGGGUAGCCGGCCUGAGAGGGCGACCGGCCACACUGGGACUGAGACACGGCCCAGACUCCUACGGGAGGCAGCAGUGGGGAAUCUUGCGCAAUGGGCGAAAG